GGUAAUACGGAGGGUGCAAGCGUUAUCCGGAAUCAUUGGGUUUAAAGGGUCCGCAGGCGGUCAAUUAAGUCAGAGGUGAAAUCCCAUAGCUUAACUAUGGAACUGCCUUUGAUACUGGUUGACUUGAGUUAUACGGAAGUAGAUAGAAUGUGUAGUGUAGCGGUGAAAUGCAUAGAUAUUACACAGAAUACCGAUUGCGAAGGCAGUCUACUACGUAUAUACUGACGCUCAUGGACGAAAGCGUGGGGAGCGAACRGGAUUAGAUACCCYGGUAGUCCACGCCGUAAACGAUGGAYACUAGUUGUUGGGAUUUAUCUCAGUGACUAAGCGAAAGUGAUAAGUGUCCCACCUGGGGAG
Molecule: ribosomal RNA, 357 nt
Filed under: uncultured bacterium
Lineage: Bacteria
Description: bacterial SSU rRNA
Rfam family: Bacterial small subunit ribosomal RNA
Source: RNAcentral